UGGCUCCUCUCACGUCUCACAGACCC
This 26-nucleotide non-coding RNA is filed under the name Mus musculus (house mouse). The record is from RNAcentral. Lineage: Eukaryota; Metazoa; Chordata; Mammalia; Rodentia; Muridae.